UGUGGAGCGCGUUUUCAGCG
This 20-nucleotide unclassified non-coding RNA is filed under the name Chlamydomonas reinhardtii. RNAcentral describes it as "small RNA Cre_3605". The record is from RNAcentral. Lineage: Eukaryota; Viridiplantae; Chlorophyta; Chlorophyceae; Chlamydomonadales; Chlamydomonadaceae.